RNAcentral lists this ribosomal RNA (753 nucleotides) under uncultured bacterium. RNAcentral's name for it is "bacterial SSU rRNA". It matches the Rfam family "Bacterial small subunit ribosomal RNA", at positions 20 to 786 of the family's 1533-position model. The record is from RNAcentral.
GGCCGCGGGACUUCCUUUCAGGCCUAACACAUGCAAGUCGAACGGAAAGGCCUCCUUUUGCUGGGGUACUCGAGUGGCGAACGGGUGAGUAACACGUGGGUGAUCUGCCCUGCACUUUGGGAUAAGCUUGGGAAACUGGGUCUAAUACCGAAUAUGACCACUUCUUGGAUGUUGUGGUGGAAAGCUUUUGCGGUGUGGGAUGAGCCUGCGGCCUAUCAGCUUGUUGGUGGGGUAAUGGCCUACCAAGGCGGCGACGGGUAUCCGGCCUGAGAGGGUGUACGGACACAUUGGGACUGAGAUACGGCCCAGACUCCUACGGGAGGCAGCAGUGGGGAAUAUUGCACAAUGGGCGCAAGCCUGAUGCAGCGACGCCGCGUGGGGGAUGAAGGCCUUCGGGUUGUAAACUCCUUUCGCUAUCGACGAAGCCACUUGUGGUGACGGUAGGUAGAUAAGAAGCACCGGCUAACUACGUGCCAGCAGCCGCGGUAAUACGUAGGGUGCAAGCGUUGUCCGGAAUUACUGGGCGUAAAGAGCUCGUAGGUGGUUUGUCGUGUCGUCUGUGAAAUCCCGGGGCUUAACUUCGGGCGUGCAGGCGAUACGGGCAUAACUUGAGUGCUGUAGGGGAGACUGGAAUUCCUGGUGUAGCGGUGAAAUGCGCAGAUAUCAGGAGGAACACCGAUGGCGAAGGCAGGUCUCUGGGCAGUAACUGACGCUGAGGAGCGAAAGCAUGGGUAGCGAACAGGAUUACAUACC